CGACCCCAGGUCAGGCGGGAU
This 21-nucleotide non-coding RNA is filed under the name Arabidopsis thaliana (thale cress). The record is from RNAcentral. Lineage: Eukaryota; Viridiplantae; Streptophyta; Magnoliopsida; Brassicales; Brassicaceae. RNAcentral also lists the same sequence under 1 other name.